CUUUAUCUCUUCAUCUUCUCAGCUCUUCAUGACCACACACUCUCCCUCUCCAUUUUGACAGAAACACAAAGCAAUACCCAUUUGUUCUUUUUACGGGUGGUCUUCAACUCACAGAUCUCAUCUUGCAUUUAUCAAAUCCUUCACCAAAUGUACUGGGUAUGGAGUGAGUAGGAGGCAAAAUGGGCUAUCAUCAUCACACGAAACAUUUCGAAUUUUGCAUCUUGUAGUCAUCUCUUCUACCGAUCCAAAGUUGAAAUCAUGGCUGGGUAUGCCUUGACUUUGAACAAAUCCCACUCUAUCAGAGUUAUACGGUGACUGGGAAUUAUCCUUGAAGUGCAGGAGUGCGACGGCCAAGCAAUGGCUUCGAAAGGGACCGGAGAAGACAAUUAUGAAGGCAAACAGAAAAGUAUUACUAGACGCUCAAAGGAGUAAGCAAUAUUUCCAAAGCCAAGAACAACUGAAAUAGAUAGAGGCCGACUUGAAAAAUUCCGAGCCUAAGUGUAUGCAACUUGAGAGUGACCUUUUAGACACUGGUUGUACCUUGGGAGCUCUUAAAGCUUUAUUAGCCGAGUAAUGAUGAUUUAUGUAUGUGGCUCUUUUAUCAGCCAGUGGCCGGCUUUCGUAAACAUUUGAAUCUUAUGGGCCAAUGAAAAACUAAUUAUUUGCUUGGU
This 671-nucleotide long non-coding RNA is filed under the name Rosa chinensis. RNAcentral's name for it is "sRNA RchiOBHm_Chr7g0233971". The record is from RNAcentral. Lineage: Eukaryota; Viridiplantae; Streptophyta; Magnoliopsida; Rosales; Rosaceae.